This 1017-nucleotide long non-coding RNA is filed under the name Marmota monax (woodchuck). Lineage: Eukaryota; Metazoa; Chordata; Mammalia; Rodentia; Sciuridae. The record is from RNAcentral.
UUCAGAGGUUCAGUCCAUGAUCAUCCAGCUCCAUAAACUCUGGGCUGAAGAUGAGGAAGAACAUUUAUGGUGGAAUGGCGCGUGGCAGACAAAACCUGCUCAGGACAUGGCAAAUAAAAAGCAGAAAGAGCUCUGCUCAGCAGGGACAAAUUAUAUACCCUAAAGCCAUGCUCCAGUGACCUACCUUUUCUAGCCACUCCACAUCUACCUAUGGUUACCACCCAGUUAAUCCAGAUCCAUGGAUUAAUCCAUUGAUUAGGUCACAACUCUUCGAAUCCAACUAUUCCACCUCUGAACAAUUCUUACAUUGUCUCACACAUGGGCUUUUGGGGGACACCUCAUAUCUAAACCAUCACAGGCUGUGAGUGGAGAGUAGGCAGUGUGAACUCCAUCUGCAGGCAGUGGCUGGCUGCAGGUAGCACUGUGGAUUCUAGGACUGUCUACCCAAUGCUCUCCUUGAACAAAUGAGGCAACAGAGGCCGGUAGAGACAGCUCAUACCCUCGGACCCCCAAAACACAGAUUCAAGGCCCAGUGCAAUCUCCACUACUCCGUGAACCUGGGGGCAGAACAUAUAUCUUAUUCAUCUCUGUACUCAGAGUCCAACAAAGAGCCCAGAGCAUAAGAGUCAAUAGAUGCAUGUGUACUGACAAGUGUGUGGAAACAGAGCACUUCUUCAUUUAGCCAAGUUGAGUUAGAUGCGCAAGUGACACCUGAAAGGGUCUAAGGACUGACACAGAAUUAUUGUGUUUUUUCAUGGCAGCCGCACAAGAGUGGGCAUCCCCAGGAGGAUGCCACCUGCCUUGCUGGCCACGAAUCUCUCCAGCAGCCCUUCUUUCUUCUUUAGCCAAACUAACUGAUUUGGCCAAUAAUAUAGAGUUUCCCUACUGGGUAGAGCUGAAAAGAAGGGGACCAGUGACUGGGUGUUGUUGUUUUCUGUUUUCACCAGUUAGUGGGGAUAGCUUUCCAGAAUGGCUUUAGUUCAUGGAUGACUUGGUUUCUCUAGCAGUGGUUGCCAC